GUUACAGUGGCCGAGAGGUUAAGGCGAUGCCCUGCUAAACAGCGGUUAGCAGCCUAGGCAUUGGGAUUUUCCUGCGCAGGUUCGAAUCCUGUCUGUAACG
Transfer RNA from Ascoidea rubescens DSM 1968, 100 nucleotides. It matches the Rfam family "tRNA". Rfam says of the family: Transfer RNA (tRNA) molecules are approximately 80 nucleotides in length. Their secondary structure includes four short double-helical elements and three loops (D, anti-codon, and T loops). The record is from Rfam. NCBI's taxonomy places the organism in Eukaryota, Fungi, Ascomycota, Saccharomycetes, Ascoideales, Ascoideaceae.